CGUGUAGGUGGGCUUUUAAGUCGGUGGUGAAAUCCUGCAGCUCAACUGCAGAAUUGCCCUCGAUACUGAGAGCCUUGAGUGCGGCAGAGGGAGAUGGAAUUCAUGGUGUAGCGGUGAAAUGUGUAGAUAUCAUGAAGAACACCGGUAGCGAAGGCGGUCUCCUGGUCCGUAACUGACACUGAGGCGCGAAAGCGUGGGGAGCAAACAGGAUUAGAUACCCUGGUAGUCCACGCCUUAAACGAUGGGUACUCGGUGCUGGGCCGCAAGGUUCAGUGCCAAAGCUAACGCAUUAAGUACCCCACCUGGGGAGUACGAUCGCAAGGUUGAA
This 328-nucleotide ribosomal RNA is filed under the name uncultured bacterium. RNAcentral's name for it is "bacterial SSU rRNA". It matches the Rfam family "Bacterial small subunit ribosomal RNA", at positions 568 to 898 of the family's 1533-position model. The record is from RNAcentral.